This 253-nucleotide ribosomal RNA is filed under the name uncultured bacterium. RNAcentral describes it as "partial 16S ribosomal RNA". It matches the Rfam family "Bacterial small subunit ribosomal RNA", at positions 524 to 776 of the family's 1533-position model. The record is from RNAcentral.
UACGAAGGGGACUAGCGUUGUUCGGAUUUACUGGGCGUAAAGGGCGCGUAGGCGGCCGUUCAAGUCGGGGGUGAAAGCCUGUGGCUCAACCACAGAAUGGCCUUCGAUACUGGACGGCUCGAGACCGGAAGAGGUCAGUGGAACUGCGAGUGUAGAGGUGAAAUUCGUAGAUAUUCGCAAGAACACCAGUGGCGAAGGCGGCUGACUGGUCCGGUUCUGACGCUGAGGCGCGAAAGCGUGGGGAGCAAACAGG